This 478-nucleotide ribosomal RNA is filed under the name uncultured Candidatus Scalindua sp. RNAcentral's name for it is "bacterial SSU rRNA". It matches the Rfam family "Bacterial small subunit ribosomal RNA", at positions 365 to 833 of the family's 1533-position model. Lineage: Bacteria; Pseudomonadati; Planctomycetota; Candidatus Brocadiia; Candidatus Brocadiales; Candidatus Scalinduaceae. The record is from RNAcentral.
UUCGCAAUGCCCGAAAGGGUGACGAAGCGACGCCGCGUGAGUGAGGAAGGCCUUCGGGUUGUAAAGCUCUGUCAGGAGUUAAGAAAUAUAAGUGUGCUAAUACCACAUUUAUUCGACAAAGGCUCCAAAGGAAGCCACGGCUAACUCUGUGCCAGCAGCCGCGGUAAUACAGAGGUGGCAAGCGUUGUUCGGAAUUAUUGGGCGUAAAGAGCACGUAGGUGGGUUUGUAAGUCAGAUGUGAAAGCCUUCUGUUCAACGGAAGAAUUGCAUCUGAAACUGCGAGUCUUGAGUGUAGGAGGGGAGAAUGGAACUUCUGGUGGAGCGGUGAAAUGCGUAGAUAUCAGAAGGAACGCCGGCGGCGAAAGCGAUUCUCUGGCCUAUUACUGACACUCAGUGUGCGAAAGCUAGGGGAGCAAACGGGAUUAGAUACCCCGGUAGUCCUAGCUGUAAACGAUGGGCACUAAGUAGAGGGGCAUUG